UGGGAAGCGUUCUGCUCUUCCUCCGACAGCCACGCAGCGAGCUCACGAGGCAGCCUCCACACAUAAUGAAAGCAAACGCCACCAUAAAUCUCCCGCUCGGCGGAGGUCACUUCAGAAAAAUCGCCCGCUGCUCAGAUAAGCACCAGCUUUGCUGAGGAACAUGGAAGGGGGAAAACACCGACUGUGAUAAACACCAGCAGCUCCCUGCCUUCCACCUCCCUGCUGCAAAAUGGAUCAAUCUAUAAUAAGUAGUAGUUAUAUAUCAUAAGGCAGCAAUUCCUUUUAGUUGUUCCACUAUAAAAAAGCAUCCAGAUUUAGAACUUGACAGGAACCAGUAUCGCCUGCCCCCCAGAGCCGGCAGAAAGUCUGUGUAUGUCAUUCAGCCAGCAUGGAGUCUGGGUGUUUUAAAAGCUUUAAUUUGAAGGGGAUAAAAAACCUGGGCGUUAAGCAAUUUGGCUGUGGAUAUUUAAUGCAUCAGCCACGCUAUAGAAUUGGAGUCCUCUAUUUAAAAUGAGAAAUUGAAAACUUACACGCUCUGUAGGCAAGGUGUAAGUAAAUGUAGGAUGGUAAGCAGAAAUCAGCUGAGAACCUGCAGAAACGCCAUUAGAAGGACUAAUGGCAUGGUUCAGAAGUGGCCUUAAACAAAUGCUAGGGUGUCGUUUGUAAGUGUGUAAAACAGGUCUGGCUUUUAAUUAGCAGGAGCCAUAUCUCCCUGUGUUUAGGAAAAGGCAUUACUUCUCAAAGAGAAUAUCCUAACGGGGUCUACAUAGGGACCAGGAGGAAACAAUGGCCCGGGAGUUGAGAUUUGCCUCAAGGCACGUUCCUCCUCAAUGGCAGCGUGGAGAUUGGAACUCAGUCUCCUUAUCUCUAAUUUCCACUCUAACACACUUAUUGUAGGUAGAAAAAAUGCAUCCCAAAGAUGUCUACUUCUUACUCCCCAGAACCUGUACAUACAGCACCUUACAUGGCAAAAGUGACUUUGCAGAUACGAUUGAGUUAAGGGUUUUGAGAUAGGGAGAUUACCAGGUGGCCCAACGGAAUCACAAGGGGCCUGAUAAGUAUGAGAGGGAGCAGAAGAGUGAGGGUCAGAGUCAGAGAGAGACUGGAAGAUGCUAUACCACUGGCUUUGAAGAUGAAGGAGGGGGACACAAGCCAAGGAAUGCAGGCAGCCUCUAAAUGCAGGAAAAGGUAAGGAAAUCGGUCUUACAGCCUCCAUAAAAAUGCCAUCCUGCCAAUGCCUUGAUUUCAGCCUCAUGAGACCCUUUCAGACUUCUGAUCUCUAGAACUGUAAGAGAAUACAUUGCGUUGUUUUAAGCCACUAAGUUUGUGAUGAUUUAUUACAGUACCAAGAGGAAAUCACUACAGUGUUCUAGCUGGGGAUCACAUUUCCCCACCUCAUUUUGAUCUACUCAAAGUAGUCCAUUACCUCAGUGCUGGUUAGAGUCUUUAUAAAAGCAAAAACAACAGAAUUCAGAUGCUUCUGCAGUUCUCUCUGGUAUGGAGAGCAGGUGUAAUCCCGAGACCCAUAACCUAGAGUUGGACCAGCGUGUACCAAGGUGGGGCUUGGCAGGAGUGGUCCACCCUUUUGGGAAGGAGUGUUUUAUCACUGACAUUGUUAAGGGUCACCACAGCAGAUUUUUAGUGGGUUUUGUUGUUUUUAAAUUCUCAUAGGCAGUGCACCUCUUAUUGCCUGUUCCAGCAUGAUCUGCUCCCACUGCCCACACCCACCAUUAACCUCCACCGUUGGUCUUUAGUGUCUUCUACUUUCCUUUUUGGAUUUUGUUUUUGUUUGUUUUAUUUUUUAAAUUUUUUAACUUUCCUUUAUGACACUCUUUCUUGUGGCACCUUGUUGGCUCUCUGCUCUGUGUCUCUUUCCCAUAUGAAUGAUUCCUAAAGGAAAGAUUUUUUCUAAUUAUCAGCUCUGUGUUAAGAAAUUAGUUGGAAAGAACUUAAAGUAUGAGGGUUCAUCAACUAUUUCUGGUGUAUUAGAAUACUCUAUUUCAUUUGGGUGUGUUUCAUUAAUGACUUCUACCCUCUUAUCCCUGCUGCUUCUGUAAAGCCUUCAAGACCCCUCAAAGUUAAUCUCUACAGGUGAAAUUUCAGGCUCCUGGUUUGGGUGGGCCUUUUCCAGAGUGUCUCAUGUACACUUUGUAGAUACAGCUUUGGAGUCAGACAGACCGGGGUUUGACUCCCUGACCCACCAUUUACUAGUGAUGUCACCUUGAAAAAAAUUAUUUAUUGUCUCACUUUGUUUAUCUGUAAAAUGGAGAACAUAACAAUGAUCUUGCUCCAUAGUGAGAAAUUAAUGCGAUUUUGUAUUUCAAGUGUUUAGCAGAGUGUGA
RNAcentral lists this long non-coding RNA (2342 nucleotides) under Homo sapiens (human). Its description in RNAcentral is "non-protein coding lnc-PGRMC2-2:1". Lineage: Eukaryota; Metazoa; Chordata; Mammalia; Primates; Hominidae. The record is from RNAcentral.